Molecule: ribosomal RNA, 254 nt
Filed under: uncultured bacterium
Lineage: Bacteria
Description: partial 16S ribosomal RNA
Rfam family: Bacterial small subunit ribosomal RNA
Source: RNAcentral
UACGUAGGGCGCGAGCGUUGUCCGGAUUUAUUGGGCGUAAAGAGCUCGUAGGCGGCUUGUCGCGUCGACUGUGAAAACCCGUGGCUCAACCAUGUGGUCUGCAGUCGAUACGGGCAGGCUAGAAUUCGGUAGGGGAGACUGGAAUUCCUGGUGUAGCGGUGAAAUGCGCAGAUAUCAGGAGGAACACCGGUGGCGAAGGCGGCUAUCUGGACGACAACUGACGCUGAGGCGCGAAAGCGUGGGGAUCAAACAGG